Nemania sp. FL0031 is the source of this 79-nucleotide non-coding RNA. The record is from the annotation of a GenBank genome assembly. Lineage: Eukaryota; Fungi; Ascomycota; Sordariomycetes; Xylariales; Xylariaceae.
GGCUCUUUGGUCUAGAGGUAUGAUUCUCGCUUUGGGUUCAAAUUGCGAGAGGCCCCGGGUUCGAAUCCCGGAAGAGCCC